Molecule: ribosomal RNA, 404 nt
Filed under: uncultured bacterium
Lineage: Bacteria
Description: bacterial SSU rRNA
Rfam family: Bacterial small subunit ribosomal RNA
Source: RNAcentral
UUAGGAAUUUUCCGCAAUGGGCGAAAGCCUGACGGAGCAACACCGCGUGGACGAUGAAGACCUUCGGGUUGUAAAGUCCUGUCGGAGGGAAAGAAACAAGACGGUACCCUCCAAGGAAGCCCCGGCUAACUACGUGCCAGCAGCCGCGGUAAUACGUAGGGGGCGAGCGUUAUCCGGAUUUACUGGGCGUAAAGCGCGUUAAGGCGGCUUGUUAAGUUGAUGGUGAAAUUUCAGGGCUCAACCCUGAAACUGCCUUCAAUACUGGCAAGCUUGAGUGUGAGAGAGGAAGAUGGAAUUCCCGGUGUAGUAGUGAAAUGCGUAGAUAUCGGGAGGAACACCAGUGGCGAAGGCGGUCUUCUGGCUCACAACUGACGCUGUAGCGCGAAAGCGUGGGGAGCGAACGG